CCGCCUAGCCAGCCGCCGUGGAGAGAGGUGGGGGAGGGACCUCAGCAGAGCUCGUCGUGGUUCUCCAGCGAGCGGUAGGAUUGAGGCAGAAAAAGCUGGUCCUUGUCUCAUGGAAAGCACUAAAUUCAAGGUUUCUGACUGCAUUUUGUGAGUUGAAGACAUUUAACGGAGGAAUUCUCUUGUGUAAUAGAGAUACCUGAAUGUUGAGACAACAGUGCCAACGCUUACUGCAUGUUUACCUUGUCCAAGGCACUGUCCUAAGCGCUUUUCGUGAAGUGUUUAACUCAGUAGCUUUGUCAACCGCGUACAAUCAGUUCUGUUAGUGCCAUUCCUGUUGAAGGCGCUGGAGGCGGGAGGCUACAUUUGCAGAGCACAUGGUUCUUGCCAUUGUUCAGUGUUCGCUUCAGGGGGUCUUCAGCCUAGCUCACCAAUACAGAGAAAACUGAUACCCGGAGAAGGAAAUUAGGUACUGCAGUUCCCACAACAAGACCAGGACACCCCUUUCCUAUGUCUCAGAAAGUCUGAGAUCUACCCCCUGCAAAGAGAAAAGAUGGCACCGUGGGGCGGUGUCUUCUGGCCUCCCUCGAAUUUUGUCUCUCAGUUAAAGGGCCAGGAAUUCAGUGACUGAUAACAUGAUGUGACCGGAAAUGGAAGACUGAGCACUCCAGAAGGUGUCUCAAGCUAGCCAAAAGAGGUGAACACAAGCGAGACACCAGAAAGUUGGAAAGCAGGAUCCUUCCUGGGCACAAGGCUAUGCUGAGCAUAUUCCGAGUGUCCUGACUGAGGAUGUCCAGAUAUCUCCUCUUCCCACGGUCCAGCUACUCAAUUCCACCUGAAGACGACCUUUAGAAUGGCCUCCUGAUCCCCUCAGCUGCUAAUAGCUCAGCCUGUGUCCUUCAUUCACCUGAGGCUCCUCCAUCUUUCAGCACACCUUCUGCUGAUGGGGGACUUUCCUUCUCCGGCCUCUCCCCUUCCUAGACUGUGGAAACGCUUCUUGGGGCUGCACCUUACCUCUUUGGCUCUCUGUCCUUUCUACUUGGCCCAUGGAUUCCAGGAACACAGAUGUUAAGAGGCCCAGUCUCCAGGAUGCACAGAGGCCACUGGGAAAUAAAUGAGAUUGGAGAAGAAUCUAUAAAGAGGGAAGGUGAUGCUUCCAGAAUUCUGACUCUUCAGAGGAGUCAUGGGUUGAACCAUGUCCUCUAAGAAGGUCAGUUGCGGUCAUAACCCUAACCUGCAAUGUGACUUUGUAUAGAUAUAAUGAGUUAAGUUGAGGACAUCCUGGAAAAGGGUGGAUCCCUUACCCAAUAUGGUACCCUUCUAGACAGACGUGUUUAGAUUGAGACAUGAAAAAUGCCCUGAGACCAUGAAGAAAGAGGCCGGAAUACAACAGCUGCAAGCCACAGAAUGCACAUGACUGCCAGCAAAUGCUGGAAACCAGGAAGAAGCAAGAACGACCCUCUCCCACUGGCUGUAGAAAAAGUCUGGCCCUCCAGACACCUGAGUUUGGAUGGAUUUCUCCAGAAUCAUGAGACAAUACAUUGCUGUUGUUGUAAUGCAGCUGGCCUGUUGUCCUUUCUUAUGACAGGCAUAGGGAAUGACUCUGGGAGGGAAGAGGACACAAAGCUGUUUCUGACAAGCACCCCUGCCAUUGCCAGCCUGCCUGGAGCUGAAUCCCUGCAGAAGACCCUUCCUUCUCCUAGGGAAGCACACACAAGGUCUAAUGUCUCCAGCCUUUGCCUUGUUGACCUAACUUUCUAACCCAUUUCCGGAAUCCUGCAGAUCUGGGCCUUUUGCCCUCUAAAUUAAAAGUCUGGACAUAUUUCCUGUUCACUUGAAACCCCUCAAAGUCCUAGGAUGGAGACCACAUACUGGGUAACACACAAUAGUCUGCAGAGGAAGCUCCUUCCCGUGGUGGGGCACAGCCAGGCUUUCAGC
Fukomys damarensis (Damara mole-rat) is the source of this 1935-nucleotide long non-coding RNA. RefSeq lists it as uncharacterized. The record is from RefSeq and is a predicted model, not a curated record. NCBI's taxonomy places the organism in Eukaryota, Metazoa, Chordata, Mammalia, Rodentia, Bathyergidae. The transcript has 5 exons.